Molecule: ribosomal RNA, 468 nt
Filed under: uncultured bacterium
Lineage: Bacteria
Description: partial 16S ribosomal RNA
Rfam family: Bacterial small subunit ribosomal RNA
Source: RNAcentral
GACGAACGCUGGCGGCGUGCUUAACACAUGCAAGUCGAACGGAAAGGCCCUGCUUUUGUGGGGUGCUCGAGUGGCGAACGGGUGAGUAACACGUGAGUAACCUGCCCUUGACUUUGGGAUAACUUCAGGAAACUGGGGCUAAUACCGGAUAGGAGCUCCUGCUGCAUGGUGGGGGUUGGAAAGUUUCGGCGGUUGGGGAUGGACUCGCGGCUUAUCAGCUUGUUGGCGGGGUAGUGGCUUACCGAGGCUUUGACGGGUAGCCGGCCUGAGAGGGUGACCGGCCACAUUGGGACUGAGAUACGGCCCAGACUCCUACGGGAGGCAGCAGUGGGGAAUAUUGCACAAUGGGCGGAAGCCUGAUGCAGCAACGCCGCGUGCGGGAUGACGGCCUUCGGGUUGUAAACCGCUUUCGCCUGUGACGAAGCGUGAGUGACGGUAAUGGGUAAAGAAGCACCGGCUAACUACGUG